ACCUACGGGAGGCAGCAGUAGGGAAUCUUCCACAAUGGGCGAAAGCCUGAUGGAGCAACGCCGCGUGGGUGAAGAAGGUCUUCGGAUCGUAAAACCCUGUUGUUAGAGAAGAAAGUGCGUGAGAGUAACUGUUCACGUUUCGACGGUAUCUAACCAGAAAGCCACGGCUAACUACGUGCCAGCAGCCGCGGUAAUACGUAGGUGGCAAGCGUUAUCCGGAUUUAUUGGGCGUAAAGCGAGUGCAGGCGGUUGCUUUGGUCUUGU
Molecule: ribosomal RNA, 264 nt
Filed under: uncultured bacterium
Lineage: Bacteria
Description: partial 16S ribosomal RNA
Rfam family: Bacterial small subunit ribosomal RNA
Source: RNAcentral